GUACGUGUUAGCCUUCGGUAUUAUUGAAAAUGGUCAUUCAUGGCUAUUUUCGGCAAAAUGGGGGUUGUGUGGCCAUUGAUCAUCGACCAGAGGCUCAUACACCUCACCCCACAUAUGUUUCCUUGCAUAGAUCACAUUCUUGGAUUUCUGGUGGAGACCAUUUCUUGGUCAAAAACCGUAGGUGUUAGCCUUCGUAUUAUUGAAAAUGGUCGUUCAUGGCUAUUUUCGACAAAAAUGGGGGUUGUGUGGCCAUUGAUCAUCGACCAGAGGCUCAUACACCUCACCCCACAUAUGUUUCCUUGCCAUAGAUCACAUUCUUGGAUUUCUGGUGGAGACCAUUUCUUGGUCAAAAAUCCGUAGUGUUAGCCUUCGGUAUUAUUGAAAAUGGUCGUUCAUGGCUAUUUUCGGCAAAAUGGGGGUUGUGUGGCCAUUGAUCAUCGACCAGAGGCUCAUACACCUCACCCCACAUAUGUUUCCUUGCCAUAGAUCACAUUCUUGGAUUUCUGGUGGAGACCAUUUCUUGGUCAAAAAUCCGUAGGUGUUAGCCUUCGGUAUUAUUGAAAAUGGUCGUUCAUGGCUAUUUUCGGCAAAAUGGGGGUUUUGUGGCCAUUGAUCAUCGACCAGAGGCUCGUACACCUCACCCCACAUAUGUUUCCUUGCCAUAGAUCACAUUCUUGGAUUUCUGGUGGAGACCAUUUCUUGGUCAAAAAUCCGUAGGUGUUAGCCUUCGGUAUUAUUGAAAAUGGUCGUUCAUGGCUAUUUUCGACAAAAAUGGGGGUUGUGUGGCCAUUGAUCAUCGACCAGAGGCUCAUACACCUCACCCCACAUAUGUUUCCUGCCAUAGAUCACAUUCUUGGAUUUCUGGUGGAGACCAUUUCUUGGUCAAAAAUCCGUAGGUUUAGCCUCUAUAUUAUUGAAAAUGGUCGCUCAUGGCUAUUUUCGGCAAAAUGGGGGUUCUGUGGCCAUUGAUCGUCGACCAGAGGCUCAUACACCUCACCCCACAUAUGUUUCCUUGUCGUAGAUCACAUUCUUGGAUUUCUGGUGGAGACCAUUUCUUGGUCAAAAAUCCGUAGGUGUUAGCCUUCGAUAUUAUUGAAAAUGGUCGUUCAUGGCUAUUUUCGACAAAAAUGGGGGUUGUGUGGCCAUUGAUCAUCGACCAGAGGCUCAUACACCUCACCCCACAUAUGUUUCCUUGCCAUAGAUCACAUUCUUGGAUUUCUGGUGGAGACCAUUUCUUGGUCAAAAAUCUGUAGGUGUUAGCCUUCGGUAUUAUUGAAAAUGGUCGUUCAUGGCUAUUUUCGACAAAAAUGGGGGUUGUGUGGCCAUUGAUCAUCGACCAGACGCUCAUACACCUCACCCCACAUAUGUUUCCUUGCCAUAGAUCACAUUCUUGGAUUUCUGGUGGAGACCAUUUCUUGGUCUAAAAUCCGUAGGUGUUAGCCUCUAGUAUUAUUGAAAAUGGUCGCUCAUGGCUAUUUUCAAGGUCGCUCAUGGCUAUUUUCAUAAAAAAUGGGGGUUGUGUGGCCAUUUUCAUCGACUAGAGGUUCAUAAACCUCACCCCACAUAUGUUUCCUUGCCAUAGAUCACAUUCUUGGAUUUCUGGUGGAGACCAUUUCUUGGUCAAAAAUCCGUACGUGUUAGCCUUUGGUAUUUUUGAAAAUGGUCGUUCAUGGCUUGGUCGAUGAUCAAUGGCCACACAACCCCCAUUUUUUAUGAAAAUAGCCAUGAGCGACCAUUUUCAAUAAUACUAGAGGCUAAGACCUACGGAUUUUUGACCAAGAAAUGGUCUCCACCAGAAAUCCAAGAAUGUGAUCUAUGGCAAGGAAACAUAUGUGGGGUGAGGUGUAUGAGCCUCUCGUCGAUGAUCAAUGGCCACACAACCCCCAUUUUUGUCGAAAAUAGCCAUGAAUGACCAUUUACAAUAAUACCGAAGGCUAACACCUACGGAUUUUUGACCAAGAAAUGGUCUCCACCAGAAAUCCAAGAAUGUGAUCUAUGGCAAGGAAACAUAUGUGGGGUGAGGUGUAUGAGCCUAUGGUCGAUGAUCAAUGGCCACACAACCCCCAUUUUUGUCGAAAAUAGCCAUGAACGACCAUUUUCAAUAAUAUCGAAGGCUAACACCUACGGAUUUUUGACCAAGAAAUGGUCUCCACCAGAAAUCCAAGAAUGUGAUCUACGACAAGGAAACAUAUGUGGGGUGAGGUGUAUGAGCCUCUGGUCGACGAUCAAUGGCCACACAACCCCCAUUUUGCCGAAAAUAGCCAUGAAUGACCAUUUUCAAUAAUACCGAAGGCUAACACGUACGAGUUUUUAACCAAGAAAUGGUUUCCACCAGAAAUCCAAGAAUGUAAUCUAUGGCAAGGAAACAUAUGUGGGGUGAGGUUUAUGAGCCUCUAGUCGAUGAUAAAUGGCCACACAACCCCAUUUUUAUGAAAAUAGCCAUGAGCGACCUUGAAAAUAGCCAUGAGCGACCAUUUUCAAUAAUACUAGAGGCUAACACCUACGGAUUUUAGACCAAGAAAUGGUCUCCACCAGAAAUCCAAGAAUGUGAUCUAUGGCAAGGAAACAUAUGUGGGGUGAGGUGUAUGAGCGUCUGGUCGAUGAUCAAUGGCCACACAACCCCCAUUUUUGUCGAAAAUAGCCAUGAACGACCAUUUUCAAUAAUACCGAAGGCUAACACCUACGGAUUUUUGACCAAGAAAUGGUCUCCACCAGAAAUCCAAGAAUGUGAUCUAUGGCAAGGAAACAUAUGUGGGGUGAGAUUUAUGAGCCUCUAGUCGAUGAUAAAUGGCCACACAACCCCCAUUUUUUAUGAAAAUAGCCAUGAGCGACCAUUUUCAAUAAUAUUAGAGGCUAAGACCUACGGAUUUUUGACCAAGAAAUGGUCUCCACCAGAAAUCUAAGAAUGUGAUCUAUGGCAAGGAAACAUAUGUGGGGUGAGGUGUAUGAGCCUCUGGUCGAUGAUCAAUGGCCACACAACCCCCAUUUUUGUCGAAAAUGGCCAUGAACGACCAUUUUCAAUAAUAUCGAAGGCUAACACCUACGGAUUUUUGACCAAGAAAUGGUCUCCACCAGAAAUCCAAGAAUGUGAUCUAUGGCAAGGAAACAUAUGUGGGGUGAGGUGUACGAGCCUCUGGUCGAUGAUCAAUGGCCACACAACCCCCAAUUUUUAUGAAAAUAGCCAUGAGAGACCAUUUUCAAUAAUACUAGAGGCUAAGACCUACGGAUUUUUGACCAAGAAAUGGUCUCCACCAGAAAUCCAAGAAUGUGAUCUAUGGCAAGGAAACAUAUGUGGGGUGAGGUGUAUGAGCCUCUGGUCGAUGAUCAAUGGCCACACAACCCCCAUUUUUGUCGAAAAUAGCCAUGAAUGACCAUUUACAAUAAUACCGAAGGCUAACACCUACGGAUUUUUGACCAAGAAAUGGUCUCCACCAGAAAUCCAAGAAUGUGAUCUAUGGCAAGGAAACAUAUGUGGGGUGAGGUGUAUGAGCCUCUAGUCGAUGAUCAAUGGCCACACAACCCCCAUUUUUGUCGAAAAUAGCCAUGAAUGACCAUUUUCAAAAAUACCAAAGGCUAACACCUACGGAUUUUUGACCAAGAAAUGGUCUCCACCAGAAAUCCAAGAAUGUGAUCUAUGGCAAGGAAACAUAUGUGGGGUGAGGUGUAUGAGCCUCUGGUCGAUGAUCAAUUGCCACACAACCCCCAUUUUGUCGAAAAUAGCCAUGAACGACCAUUUUCAAUAAUACCGAAGGCUAACACCUACGGAUUUUUGACCAAGAAAUGGUCUCCACCAGAAAUCCAAGAAUGUGAUCUACGACAAGGAAACAUAUGUGGGGUGAGGUGUAUGAGCCUCUGGUCGACGAUCAAUGGCCACACAACCCCCAUUUUGCCGAAAAUAGCCAUGAAUGACCAUUUUCAAUAAUACCGAAGGCUAACACGUACGAGUUUUUAACCAAGAAAUGGUUUCCACCAGAAAUCCAAGAAUGUAAUCUAUGGCAAGGAAACAUAUGUGGGGUGAGGUCUAUGAGCCUCUAGUCGAUGAUAAAUGGCCACACAACCCCCAUUUUUAUGAAAAUAGCCAUGAGCGACCUUGAAAAUAGCCAUGAGCGACCAUUUUCAAUAAUACUAGAGGCUAACACCUACGGAUUUUAGACCAAGAAAUGGUCUCCACCAGAAAUCCUAGAAUGUGAUCUAUUGCAAGGAAACAUAUGGGGGUGAGGUGGACGAGCCUCUGGUCGAUGAUCAAUGGCCACACAACCCCCAUUUUUGUCGAAAAUAGCCAUGAACGAUCAUUUACAAUAAUACCGAAGGCUAACACCUACGGAUUUUUGACCAAGAAAUGGUCUCCACCAGAAAUCCAAGAAUGUGAUCUAUGGCAAGGAAACAUAUGUGGGGUGAGGUUUAUGAGCCUCUAGUCGAUGAUAAAUGGCCACACAACCCCCAUUUUUUAUGAAAAUAGCCAUGAGCGACCUUGAAAAUAGCCAUGAGCGACCAUUUUCAAUAAUACUAGAGGCUAACACCUACGGAUUUUAGACCAAGAAAUGGUCUCCACCAGAAAUCCAAGAAUGUGAUCUAUGGCAAGGAAACAUAUGUGGGGUGAGGUGUAUGAGCGUCUGGUCGAUGAUCAAUGGCCACACAACCCCCAUUUUUGUCGAAAAUAGCCAUGAACGACCAUUUUCAAUAAUACCGAAGGCUAACACCUACGGAUUUUUGACCAAGAAAUGGUCUCCACCAGAAAUCCAAGAAUGUGAUCUAUGGCAAGGAAACAUAUGUGGGGUGAGGUGUAUGAGCCUCUGGUCGAUGAUCAUUGGCCACACAACCCCCAUUUUUGUCGAAAAUAGCCAUGAACGACCAUUUUCAAUAAUAUCGAAGGCUAACACCUACGGAUUUUUGACCAAGAAAUGGUCUCCACCAGAAAUCCAAGAAUGUGAUCUACGACAAGGAAACAUAUGUGGGGUGAGGUGUAUGAGCCUCUGGUCGACGAUCAAUGGCCACACAACCCCCAUUUUGCCGAAAAUAGCCAUGAAUGACCAUUUUCAAUAAUAUCGAAGGCUAACACCUACGGAUUUUUGACCAAGAAAUGGUCUCCACCAGAAAUCCAAGAAUGUGAUCUACGACAAGGAAACAUAUGUGGGGUGAGGUGUAUGAGCCUCUGGUCGACGAUCAAUGGCCACACAACCCCCAUUUUGCCGAAAAUAGCCAUGAAUGACCAUUUUCAAUAAUACCGAAGGCUAACACGUACGAGUUUUUAACCAAGAAAUGGUUUCCACCAGAAAUCCAAGAAUGUAAUCUAUGGCAAGGAAACAUAUGUGGGGUGAGGUGUAUGAGCCUCUAGUCGAUGAUAAAUGGCCACACAACCCCCAUUUUUUAUGAAAAUAGCCAUGAGCGACCUUGAAAAUAGCCAUGAGCGACCAUUUUCAAUAAUACUAGAGGCUAACACCUACGGAUUUUGACCAAGAAAGGUCUCCACCAGAAAUCCAAGAAUGUGAUCUAUGGCAAGGAAACAUAUGUGGGGUGAGGUGUAUGAGCGUCUGGUCGAUGAUCAAUGGCCACACAACCCCCAUUUUUGUCGAAAAUAGCCAUGAACGACCAUUUUCAAUAAUACCGAAGGCUAACACCUACGGAUUUUUGACCAAGAAAUGGUCUCCACCAGAAAUCCAAGAAUGUGAUCUAUGGCAAGGAAACAUAUGUGGGGUGAGGUGUAUGAGCCUCUAGUCGAUGAUCAAUGGCCACACAACCCCCAUUUUUGUCGAAAAUAGCCAUGAAUGACCAUUUUCAAAAAUACCAAAGGCUAACACGUACGGAUUUUUGACCAAGAAAUGGUCUCCACCAGAAAUCCAAGAAUGUGAUCUAUGGCAAGGAAACAUAUGUGGGGUGAGGUGUACGAGCCUCUGGUCGAUGAUCAAUGGCCACACAACCCCCAUUUUUGUCGAAAAUAGCCAUGAAUGACCAUUUUCAAUAAUACCGAAGGCUAACACGUACGAGUUUUUAACCAAGAAAUGGUUUCCACCAGAAAUCCAAGAAUGUAAUCUAUGGCAAGGAAACAUAUGUGGGGUGAGGUGUAUGAGCCUCUGGUCGAUGAUCAAUGGCCACACACCCCCAUUUUUAUGAAAAUAGCCAUGAGCGACCAUUUUCAAUAAUACUAGAGGCUAAGACCUACGGAUUUUUAACCAAGAAAUGGUCUCCACCAGAAAUCCAAGAAUGUGAUCUACGACAAGGAAACAUAUGUGGGGUGAGGUGUAUGAGCGUCUGGUCGACGAUCAAUGGCCACACAACCCCCAUUUUUGUCGAAAAUAGCCAUGAACGACCAUUUUCAAUAAUACCAAGGCUAACACCUACGGAUUUUUGACCAAGAAAUGGUCGGGGUGAGGUUUACGAGCCUCUGGUCGAUGAUCAAUGGCCACACAACCCCAUUUUUAUGAAAAUAGCCAUACGACCUUGAAAAUAGCCAUGACGACCAUUUUCAAUAAUACUAGAGGCUAACACCUACGGAUUUUAGACCAAGAAAUGGUUCCACCAGAAAUCCAAGAAUGUGAUCUAUGGCAAGGAAACAUAUGUGGGGUGAGGUGUAUGAGCCUCUGGUCGACGAUCAAUGGCCACACAACCCCCAUUUUGCCGAAAAUAGCCAUGAAUGACCAUUUUCAAUAAUACGAAGGCUAACACCUACGGAUUUUUGACCAAGAAAUGGUCUCCACCAGAAAUCCAAGAAUGUGAUCUAUGGCAAGGAAACAUAUGUGGGGUGAGGUGUAUGAGCCUCUGGUCGACGAUCAAUGGCCACACAACCCCAUUUUUGUCGAAAAUAGCCAUGAACGACCAUUUUCAAUAAUACGAAGGCUAACACCUACGGAUUUUUGACCAAGAAAUGGUCUCCACCAGAAAUCCAAGAAUGUGAUCUAUGGCAAGGAAACAUAUGUGGGUGAGGUGUAUGAGCCUCUGGUCGAGAUCAAUGGCCACACAACCCCCAUUUUUGUCGAAAAUAGCCAUGAAUGACCAUUUUCAAAAUACAAGGCUAACACCUACGGAUUUUUGACCAAGAAAUGGUCUCCACCAGAAAUCCAAGAAUGUGAUCUAUGGCAAGGAAACAUAUGUGGGGUGAGGUGUAUGAGCCUCUGGUCGAUGAUCAAUGGCCACACAACCCCCAUUUUGUCGAAAAUAGCCAUGAACGACCAUUUUCAAUAAUACCGAAGGCUAACACCUACGGAUUUUUGACCAAGAAAUGGUCUCCACCAGAAAUCCAAGAAUGUGAUCUAUGGCAAGGAAACAUAUGUGGGGUGAGGUGUAUGAGCCUCUGGUCGAUGAUCAAUGGCCACACAACCCCCAUUUUUGUCGAAAAUAGCCAUGAACGACCAUUUUCAAUAAUACCGAAGGCUAACACCUACGGAUUUUUGACCAAGAAAUGGUCUCCACCAGAAAUCCAAGAAUGUGAUCUAUGGCAAGGAAACAUAUGUGGGGUGAGGUGUAUGAGCCUCUGGUCGAUGAUCAAUGGCCACACAACCCCCAUUUUUGUCGAAAAUAGCCAUGAACGACCAUUUUCAAUAAUACGAAGGCUAACACUACGAUUUUUAACCAAGAAAUGGUUCCACCAGAAAUCCAAGAAUGUAUCUAUGGCAAGGAAACAUAUGUGGGGUGAGGUGUAUGAGCCUCUGGUCGAUGAUCAAUGGCCACACAACCCCAUUUUUUGAAAAUAGCCAUGAACGACCAUUUUCAAUAAUACAAGGCUAACACCUACGGAUUUUGACCAAGAAAUGGUCUCCACCAGAAAUCCAAGAAUGUGAUCUAUGGCAAGGAAACAUAUGUGGGGUGAGGUGUAUGAGCUCUGGUCGAUGAUCAAUGGCCACACAACCCCCAUUUUUGUCGAAAAUAGCCAUGAACGACCAUUUUCAAUAAUACAAGGCUAACACCUACGGAUUUUGACCAAGAAAUGGUUCCACCAGAAAUCCAAGAAUGUGAUCUAUGGCAAGGAAACAUAUGUGGGGUGAGGUGUAUGAGCCUCUGGUCGAGAUCAAUGGCCACACAACCCCAUUUUGCGAAAAUAGCCAUGAAGACCAUUUUCAAUAAUACGAAGGCUAACACUACGGAUUUUUGACCAAGAAAUGGUCUCCACCAGAAAUCCAAGAAUGUGAUCUAUGGCAAGGAAACAUAUGUGGGGUGAGGUGUAUGAGCCUCUGGUCGAGAUCAAUGGCCACACAACCCCAUUUUUGUCGAAAAUAGCCAUGAACGACCAUUUUCAAUAAUGAAGGCUAACACCUACGGAUUUUUGACCAAGAAAUGGUCUCCACCAAAAUCCAAGAAUGUGAUCUAUGGCAAGGAAACAUAUGUGGUGAGGUGUAUGAGCCUCUGGUCGAGAUCAAUGGCCACACAACCCCCAUUUUGUCGAAAAUAGCCAUGAAGACCAUUUUCAAAAUACCAAGGCUAACACACGGAUUUUGCCAAGAAAUGGUCUCCACCAGAAAUCCAAGAAUGUGAUCUAUGGCAAGGAAACAUAUGUGGGGUGAGGUGUAGAGCCUCUGGUCGAUGAUCAAUGCCACAAACCCCCAUUUUGCGAAAAUAGCCAUGAACGACCAUUUUCAAUAAUACCGAAGGCUAACACCUACGGAUUUUUGACCAAGAAAUGGUCUCCACCAGAAAUCCAAGAAUGUAUCUAUGGCAAGGAAACAUAUGUGGGGUGAGGUGUAUGAGCUCUGGUCGACGAUCAAUGGCCACACAACCCCCAUUUUUGUCGAAAAUAGCCAUGAACGACCAUUUUCAAUAAUACGAAGGCUAACACCUACGGAUUUUUGACCAAGAAAUGGUCUCCACCAAAAUCCAAGAAUGUGAUCUAUGGCAAGGAAACAUAUGUGGGGUGAGGUGUAUGAGCUCUGGUCGAUGAUCAAUGGCCACACAACCCCAUUUUUGUCGAAAAUAGCCAUGAACGACAUUUCAAUAAUACGAAGGCUAACACUACGAUUUUAACCAAGAAAUGGUUCCACCAGAAAUCCAAGAAUGUAUCUAUGGCAAGGAAACAUAUGUGGGUGAGGUUAUGAGCCUCUGGUCGAUGAUAAUGGCCACACAACCCAUUUUUGAAAAUAGCCAUGAACGACCAUUUUCAAUAAUACAGAGGCUAACACCUACGGAUUUUAGACCAAGAAAUGGUCUCCACCAGAAAUCCAAGAAUGUGAUCUAUGGCAAGGAAACAUAUGUGGGGUGAGGUGUAUGAGCGUCUGGUCGAUGAUCAAUGGCCACAAACCCCAUUUUGCGAAAAUAGCCAUGAAGACAUUUCAAUAAUACGAAGGCUAACACUACGAUUUUGACCAAGAAAUGGUCUCACCAGAAAUCCAAGAAUGUGAUCUAUGCAAGGAAACAUAUGUGGGUGAGGUGUAUGAGCCUGGUCGAUGAUCAAUGGCACACAACCCCAUUUUGUCGAAAAUAGCCAUGAACGACCAUUUCAAUAAUAUCGAAGGCUAACUGGGGUUGUGUGGCCAUUGAUCGUCGACCAGAGGCUCAUACACCUCACCCCACAUAUGUUUCCUUGUCGUAGAUCACAUUCUUGGAUUUCUGGUGGAGACCAUUUCUUGGUCAAAAAUCCGUAGGUGUUAGCCUUCGAUAUUAUUGAAAAUGGUCGAUCAUGGCUAUUUUCGACAAAAAUGGGGGUUGUGUGGCCAUUGAUCAUCGACCAGAGGCUCAUACACCUCACCCCACAUAUGUUUCCUUGCCAUAGAUCACAUUCUUGGAUUUCUGGUGGAGACCAUUUCUUGGUCAAAAAUCCGUAGGUGUUAGCCUUCGGUAUUAUUGAAAAUGGUCGUUCAUGGCUAUUUUCGACAAAAAUGGGGGUUGUGUGGCCAUUGAUCAUCGACCAGACGCUCAUACACCUCACCCCACAUAUGUUUCCUUGCCAUAGAUCACAUUCUUGGAUUUCUGGUGGAGACCAUUUCUUGGUCUAAAAUCCGUAGGUGUUAGCCUCUAGUAUUAUUGAAAAUGGUCGUUCAUGGCUAUUUUCGACAAAAAUUAGGGUUGUGUGGCCAUUGAUCAUCGACCAGAGGCUCAUACACCUCACCCCACAUAUGUUUCCUUGCCAUAGAUCACAUUCUUGGAUUUCUGGUGGAAACCAUUUCUUGGUUAAAAACUCGUACGUGUUAGCCUUCGGUAUUAUUGAAAAUGGUCAUUCAUGGCUAUUUUCGGCAAAAUGGGGGUUGUGUGGCCAUUGAUCGUCGACCAGAGGCUCAUACACCUCACCCCACAUAUGUUUCCUUGUCGUAGAUCACAUUCUUGGAUUUCUGGUGGAGACCAUUUCUUGGUCAAAAAUCCGUAGGUGUUAGCCUUCGAUAUUAUUGAAAAUGGUCGUUCAUGGCUAUUUUCGACAAAAAUGGGGGUUGUGUGGCCAUUGAUCAUCGACCAGACGCUCAUACACCUCACCCACAUAUGUUUCCUUGCCAUAGAUCACAUUCUUGGAUUUCUGGUGGAGACCAUUUCUUGGUCAAAAAUCUGUACGUGUUAGCCUUUGGUAUUUUGAAAAUGGUCAUUCAUGGCUAUUUUCGACAAAAAUGGGGGUUGUGUGGCCAUUGAUCAUCGACUAGAGGCUCAUACACCUCACCCCACAUAUGUUUCCUUGCCAUAGAUCACAUUCUUGGAUUUCUGGUGGAGACCAUUUCUUGGUCAAAAAUCCGUAGGUGUUAGCCUUCGGUAUUAUUGAAAAUGGUCGUUCAUGGCUAUUUUCGGCAAAAUGGGGGUUGUGUGGCCAUUGAUCGUCGACCAGAGGCUCAUACACCUCACCCCACAUAUGUUUCCUUGUCGUAGAUCACAUUCUUGGAUUUCUGGUGGAGACCAUUUCUUGGUCAAAAAUCCGUAGGUGUUAGCCUUCGGUAUUAUUGAAAAUGGUCGUUCAUGGCUAUUUUCGACAAAAAUGGGGGUUGUGUGGCCAUUGAUCAUCGACCAGACGCUCAUACACCUCACCCCACAUAUGUUUCCUUGCCAUAGAUCGCAUUCUUGGAUUUCUGGUGGAGACCAUUUCUUGGUCAAAAAUCCGUACGUGUUACCUUCGGUAUGAUUGAAAAUGGAGGUUGUGUGACCAUUGAUCAUCGACCAGAGGCUCAUACACCUCACCCCACAUAUGUUUCCUUGUCGUAGAUCACAUUCUUGGAUUUCUGGUGGAGACCAUUUCUUGGUCAAAAAUCCGUAGGUGUUAGCCUUCGGUAUUAUUGAAAAUGGUCGUUCAUGGCUAUUUUCGACAAAAAUGGGGGUUGUGUGGCCAUUGAUCAUCGACCAGAGGCUCAUACACCUCACCCCACAUAUGUUUCCUUGCCAUAGAUCACAUUCUUGGAUUUCUGGUGGAGACCAUUUCUUGGUCAAAAAUCCGUAGGUGUUAGCCUUCGGUAUUAUUGAAAAUGGUCGUUCAUGGCUAUUUUCGACAAAAAUGGGGGUUGUGUGGCCAUUGAUCAUCGACCAGACGCUCAUACACCUCACUACACAUAUGUUUCCUUGCCAUAGAUCACAUUCUUGGAUUUAUGGUGGAGACCAUUUCUUGGUCAAAAAUCCGUAGGUGUUAGCCUUCGGUAUUAUUGAAAAUGGUCGUUCAUGGCUAUUUUCGACAAAAUGGGGGUUGUGUGGCAUUGAUCAUCGACCAGAGGCUCAUACACCUCACCCCACAUAUGUUUCCUUGCCAUAGAUCACAUUCUUGGAUUUCUGGUGGAGACCAUUUCUUGGGCAAAAAUCCGAAUGUGUUAGCCUUUGGUAUUUUGAAAAUGGUCAUUCAUGGCUAUUUUCGACAAAAAUGGGGGUUGUGUGGCCAUUGAUCUCGACCAGAGGCUCAUACACCUCACUACACAUAUGUUUCCUUGCCAUAGAUCACAUUCUUGGAUUUAUGGUGGAGACCAUUUCUUGGUCAAAAAUCCGUAGGUGUUAGCCUUCAGUGUCAUUGAAAAUGGUCGUUCAUGGCUAUUUUCGACAAAAAUAGGGUUGUGUGGCCAUUGAUCGUCGACCAGAGGCUCAUACACCUCACCCCACAUAUGUUUCCUUGCCAUAGAUCACAUUCUUGGAUUUCUGGUGGAGACCAUUUCUUGGUCAAAAAUCCGUAGGUGUUAGCCUUCGGUAUUAUUGAAAAUGGUCAUUCAUGGCUAUUUUCGGCAAAAAUGGGGGUUGUGUGGCCAUUGAUCAUCGACCAGAGGCUCAUACACCUCACCCCACAUAUGUUUCCUUGCCAUAGAUCACAUUCUUGGAUUUCUGGUGGAAACCAUUUCUUGGUCUAAAAUCCGUAGGUGUUAGCCUCUAGUAUUAUUGAAAAUGGUCGCUCAUGGCUAUUUUCAAGGUCGCUCAUGGCUAUUUCAUAAAAAUGGGGGUUGUGUGGCCAUUGAUCAUCGACCAGAGGCUCGUAACCUCACCCGACCAUUUCUUGGUCAAAAAUCCGUAGGUGUUAGCCUUUGGUAUUAUUGAAAAUGGUCGUUCAUGGCUAUUUUCGACAAAAAUGGGGUUGUGUGGCCAUUGAUCGUCGACCAGACGCUCAUACACCUCACCCCACAUAUGUUUCCUUGUCGUAGAUCACAUUCUUGGAUUUCUGGUGGAGACCAUUUCUUGGUUAAAAAUCCGUAGGUCUUAGCCUCUAGUAUUAUUGAAAAUGGUCGCUCAUGGCUAUUUUCAUAAAAAUGGGGGCUGUGUGGCCAUUGAUCAUCGACCAGAGGCUCAUACACCUCACCCCACAUAUGUUUCCUUGCCAUAGAUUACAUUCUUGGAUUUCUGGUGGAAACCAUUUCUUGGUUAAAAACUCGUACGUGUUAGCCUUCGGUAUUAUUGAAAAUGGUCAUUCAUGGCUAUUUUCGACAAAAAUGGGGGUUGUGUGGCCAUUGAUCAUCGACCAGAGGCUCAUACACCUCACCCCACAUAUGUUUCCUUGCCAUAGAUCACAUUCUUGGAUUUCUGGUGGAGACCAUUUCUUGGUCAAAAAUCCGUACGUGUUAGCCUUUGGUAUUUUUGAAAAUGGUCAUUCAUGGCUAUUUUCGACAAAAAUGGGGGUUGUGUGGCCAUUGAUCAUCGACUAGAGGCUCAUACACCUCACCCCACAUAUGUUUCCUUGCCAUAGAUCACAUUCUUGGAUUUCUGGUGGAGACCAUUUCUUGGUCAAAAAUCCGUAGGUGUUAGCCUUCGGUAUUAUUGAAAAUGGUCGUUCAUGGCUAUUUUCGACAAAAAUGGGGGUUGUGUGGCCAUUGAUCAUCGACCAGACGCUCAUACACCUCACCCCACAUAUGUUUCCUUGCCAUAGAUCACAUUCUUGGAUUUCUGGUGGAGACCAUUUCUUGGUCAAAAUCCGUAGGUGUUAGCCUCUAGUAUUAUUGAAAAUGGUCGUAUCAUUCAUGGCUAUUUUCAUAAAAAAUGGGGGUUGUGUGGCCAUUUAUCAUCGACUAGAGGCUCAUACACCUCACCCCACAUAUGUUUCCUUGCCAUAGAUUACAUUCUUGGAUUUCUGGUGGAAACCAUUUCUUGGUUAAAAACUCGUACGUGUUAGCCUUCGGUAUUAUUGAAAAUGGUCAUUCAUGGCUAUUUUCGGCAAAAUGGGGGUUGUGUGGCCAUUGAUCGUCGACCAGAGGCUCAUACACCUCACCCCACAUAUGUUUCCUUGCCAUAGAUCACAUUCUUGGAUUUCUGGUGGAGACCAUUUCUUGGUCAAAAAUCCGUAGGUGUUAGCCUUCGAUAUUAUUGAAAAUGGUCGUUCAUGGCUAUUUUCGGCAAAAUGGGGGUUGUGUGGCCAUUGAUCAUCGACCAGAGGCUCAUACACCUCACCCCACAUAUGUUUCCUUGCCAUAGAUCACAUUCUUGGAUUUCUGGUGGAGACCAUUUCUUGGUCAAAAAUCCGUAGGUGUUAGCCUUCGGUAUUAUUGAAAAUGGUCGUUCAUGGCUAUUUUCGACAAAAAUGGGGGUUGUGUGGCCAUUGAUCAUCGACCAGAGGCUCAUACACCUC
RNAcentral lists this long non-coding RNA (13924 nucleotides) under Zea mays. RNAcentral describes it as "long non-coding RNA (ZMAY_LNC005832)". Lineage: Eukaryota; Viridiplantae; Streptophyta; Magnoliopsida; Poales; Poaceae. The record is from RNAcentral.